UUACUCUCUAAACUCCGUGCAGGAGACACGGUGGGGCCUGGUGUCAGUGACAGACAGCUGAGCAGAGGCUGGCCGCAUUAUCAGCAACUCUCUGAAUGUGCUUCCCCAAAAGAAUAUUCCCAUCCCAGCAAAGGAAGCCAAGAUCCAGACACUCAUAAAGAAAAUCAACGAUGGACUAAGGGGAACCGUCUCCAGAAAGGUCUAAGUAAAAGAUGUGGUCGGAAGACACUGACUGACUGGCAGACACUCGUGCCCCUGAGGAGGGGAGCCUGCAAUAAAGGAUCCUCCGCUCUCACUGAGGGAGCGAGUACUACUGUGGAAAUCACUUCAGCCAGGAAGCUGUGCUGGCUGUCUGGACCAGAACUGCAGCCAAUGCCAGGAUGAUGGAGGCAACAGAAUCCCCCCAGGAGACUCAGGGUGUCCAGUGAGGCGUGGUCCAUGCAUGACAGAAGCCUCCCCACAGACACAGAUGAUGGGGUCACUUACAAUUCCAUGCUGGACGAGCCUGGGUUCCUGAGAAACAAGAGAGAGUGAGUGCCUCCUCCGUGUUCCCUGCCUGCAGUCUUCCAGUGUGUUGUGCCCCAUGCAUUCAGAGGAAUGAUGUGUUAAAUGAAAAUUAACAUGAUAUUAGCAUACCAGGAAAAAUCACACAUCUGUGAUUGUAGUACCCUCCACUCUUUCUGCUCCCCCGGCUCUGGACUGGUGGGCUGUAGAUGACACAGAAAGGUGUCUGUUUUGGGUUGGGAUACAGAUGCUUAUGUUUUAAAAGGGGAAAACAUGGGGCUUCCUUGACAGUCCAGUUGUUAAGACUUUGCCUCCCGACGCAGGAGGUGUGGGGUUGAUUCCUGGUCAGGGAGCUAAGAUUCCCAUACCUCGCUGCCAAAAAACCAAAACAAAACAGAAGCAAUAUUAUAACAAAUUCAAUAAAAACUUUAAAAAAAAAAAAA
RNAcentral lists this long non-coding RNA (947 nucleotides) under Bubalus bubalis (water buffalo). Its description in RNAcentral is "BOA290U". Lineage: Eukaryota; Metazoa; Chordata; Mammalia; Artiodactyla; Bovidae. The record is from RNAcentral.